Molecule: non-coding RNA, 109 nt
Filed under: uncultured Nitzschia
Lineage: Eukaryota; Bacillariophyta; Bacillariophyceae; Bacillariales; Bacillariaceae
Source: RNAcentral
UAAAAAAAAGUAGUACAAUGAGCAACGAUCAAGCAAAAAAAGGACGGCAGUUAUAGGUACUCUGCCUCUUCGUUUUUCUUCUUGUUCUGCUUGUUCUUUUCUCUCCGUC